AAUAUUGGACAAUGGGGGCAACCCUGAUCCAGCCAUGCCGCGUGUGUGAAGAAGGUCUUCGGAUUGUAAAGCACUUUACGUUGGGAGGAAGGGCUUUAGGUUAAUACCCUGAAGUUUUGAGGUUACCAACAGAAUAAGCACCGGCUAACUCUGUGCCAGCAUCCGCGGUUAUACAGAGGGUGCAAGCUUUAAUCGGAAUUACUGGGCGUAAAGCGCGAGUAGGUGGUUCAGUAAGAUGGGUGGAAAGUCCCCGGGCUUAACCUGGGAACUGCUUUCAAAACUGCUGAGCUAGAGUACGGUAGAGGGUAGUGGAAUUUCCUGUGUAGCGGUGAAAUGCGUGGAUAUAGGAAGGAACACCAGUGGCGAAGGCGACUACCUGGACUGAUACUGACACUGAGGUGCGAAAGCGUGGGGAGCAAACA
Molecule: ribosomal RNA, 422 nt
Filed under: uncultured bacterium
Lineage: Bacteria
Description: partial 16S ribosomal RNA
Rfam family: Bacterial small subunit ribosomal RNA
Source: RNAcentral